AGAGUUUGAUCAUGGCUCAGGAUUAACGCUAGCGGCAGGCCUAAUACAUGCAAGUCGAACGGGAUUUCGGUUAGCAAUAAUUGAAUGAGAGUGGCGCACGGGUGCGUAACACGUAUGCAACCUACCUAUAACUGGGGGAUAGCCUCCCGAAAGGGAGAUUAACGCCGCAUAACAUUAUGAAGUGGCAUCACUUUAUAAUUAAAUCUACGGAGGUUAUAGAUGGGCAUGCGUCCGAUUAGCUAGUUGGUGAGGUAAUGGCUCACCAAGGCUCCGAUCGGUAGGGGGUCUGAGAGGAUGAUCCCCCACACUGGUACUGAGACACGGACCAGACUCCUACGGGAGGCAGCAGUAAGGAAUAUUGGACAAUGGGCGCAAGCCUGAUCCAGCCAUGCCGCGUGAAGGAUGAAGGCCCUAUGGGUCGUAAACUUCUUUUAUACGGGAAAAAACCCCUCGAUGCGUUGAGGGUUGAUGGUACUGUAAGAAUAAGGGUCGGCUAACUUCGUGCCAGCAGCCGCGGUAAUACGAAGGACCCGAGCGUUAUCCGGAUUUAUUGGGUUUAAAGGGUGCGUAGGCGGGUUAGUAAGUCAGUGGUGAAAGCCCAUCGCUUAACGGUGGAAUUGCCAUUGAUACUGCUAGUCUUGAGCAUGGUUGAGGUGGGCGGAAUGUGUCUGUAGCGGUGAAAUGCUUAGAUAUGACCCAGAACACCAAUUGCGAAGGCAGCUCGCUAAGCCAUAACUGACGCUGAUGCACGAAAGCGUGGGGAGCAAACAGGAUUAGAUACCCUAGUAGUCC
This 792-nucleotide ribosomal RNA is filed under the name uncultured bacterium. RNAcentral's name for it is "bacterial SSU rRNA". It matches the Rfam family "Bacterial small subunit ribosomal RNA", at positions 8 to 796 of the family's 1533-position model. The record is from RNAcentral.